This 107-nucleotide small nuclear RNA is filed under the name Salvator merianae (Argentine black and white tegu). The record is from RNAcentral. Lineage: Eukaryota; Metazoa; Chordata; Lepidosauria; Squamata; Teiidae.
GUGCUGGCUUNGGCAGCACAUAUACUAAAAUUAGAAUGAUACAGAGAAGGUUAGCAUGGUNCCUGCACAAGGAUGACACAAAAAUUCAUGAAGCAUUCCAUUUAAAA